AUGACCGGGAGCAAGGACUUGGUGGUGGACAUGCAAAAGAUCCCAUCUAUGCCCACCAAUGCCGAGUGGGGUGAUGCCUCACAUUCCAAGGUAUUGGGUCUUGGCAAGGUUGUCAUUUCUCAUGAUCUAACGAUCGAGAAAGUCAUGCUUGUUGAGUCCCUUGCGUUCAAUUUACUUUCCGUUUGUCAACUUGCACUCAUGGGAUUUGCCACCUUCUUUGAUAUUGAUACCAUGGCCCUCUUGUGGAGCAAGACUCUUAAAGUAGUCUUUGUUGGGCAUGUCGAGAACGGUCUCUAUGUGAUUAACUUUUUGGAGCAACCCACUAAGAUCGCGACAUGCCUAAUGGCUAAAGUUGAUGUGGGAUGGCUUUGGCAUCUCCGUUUAGCCCACAUCAAUAUAAGAUCUUUGCAAAGUCUUCUGAAGGGGGACCAUGUCCAUGGACUAACAAAUGUUAGUUUUGCCAAAGAUCUUGCUUGCAGUGCUUGUAUCGAAGGAAAGCUUCAUGAGACGGCUCACCCUCCCAUGACUAUCAUCUACUCGAAGAGACCCUUGGAGCUCCUGCACAUGGACCUCUUUGGGCCUCCAUCCUUUGAUAGUCUUGGGGGUAGAAAGUAUUGCUUGGUGAUUGUGGAUGAUUAUUCAAGAUACACUUGGGUGUACUUCUUCAAGAGGAAGAGUGAGACUCAACAAACUGUCAUCGACUUUGCAAAUGAAGCUCAACAUCAACAUAAUGCAAAGAUCUUGACAAUAAUAAGUGACAACGGCACCGAGUUCAAAAACUACACCUUGGAUGAGUUUCUUAGUGAUGAGGGGAUCAAGCAUCAAUAUUCUGCACCAUAUACCCCUCAACAAAAUGGUGUUGCGGAGAGGAAGAACUGGACCUUGAUGGAUGCGGCAAGGACCAUGAUGGCGGAGUUCAAGUCUCCAUACAACUUUUGGGCCGAAGCCAUCAACACCGCAUGUCAUGCAUCCAAUCGGCUCUAUCUCCGCAAAGGCUUGAACAAGACCCCUUAUGAGAUACUCACAGAAAACAAGCCCAAUCUCAAGUACUUUCGGGUGUUCGGGUGUAAGUGUUUCAUUCUCAAGAAAGGUGUUCGUUUUUCUAAAUUUGAGGCUAGAGCUUAUGAGGGCAUAUUUGUUGGUUAUGCUACAAGCUCUCAUGCUUACCGUGUUCUCAACAAGUCCCCGGACUCAUUGAGGAGACGUGUAAUGUGGAGUUUGACGAAAAUAACGGCUCCCAAGUGGAGCAAAGUGGUACUUGUGAUGUAG
This 1269-nucleotide ribosomal RNA is filed under the name Triticum aestivum (bread wheat). Its description in RNAcentral is "partial small subunit ribosomal RNA". The record is from RNAcentral. Lineage: Eukaryota; Viridiplantae; Streptophyta; Magnoliopsida; Poales; Poaceae.